This 339-nucleotide unclassified non-coding RNA is filed under the name soil metagenome. Its description in RNAcentral is "partial contains 5.8S ribosomal RNA, internal transcribed spacer 2, and large subunit ribosomal RNA". The stretch from base 1 to 120 matches the Rfam family "5.8S ribosomal RNA", at positions 35 to 154 of the family's 154-position model. The record is from RNAcentral.
GAUGAAGAACGUAGCGAAAUGCGAUAAUUAAUGUGAAUUGCAGAAUUCCGUGAAUCAUCGAGUUUUUGAACGCAUAUUGCGCCCCUUGGUAUUCCGAGGGGCAUGCCUGUCCGAGCGUCAUUGCAACCAUUCAAGCACGGCCUGUGUGUUGGACGGCCGCCCCAGUGUGGGCGGGUCCCAAAUGCAGUGGCGGCGCCGCGAUCCGGGUGCUCGAGUGCAUGGAAACCACGCGCUCGUUAGGCCCCGUCGGGCGCCGGCCGACCUAAUUAUCUUCGUUCUGGUUGACCUCGGAUCAGGUAGGAAUACCCGCUGAACUUAAGCAUAUCAAUAAGCGGAGGA